This 387-nucleotide long non-coding RNA is filed under the name Homo sapiens (human). RNAcentral's name for it is "HSALNT0130130". The record is from RNAcentral. Lineage: Eukaryota; Metazoa; Chordata; Mammalia; Primates; Hominidae.
UGCGGCAACCGACGUACUCACUCUUAGUGCUCCUGACAACGCCCACAGAAAUCCCUAUCAUUUUACUUGCCUGCACAUGCAGAAAUGAAGAAUGUAGAAGAACUUCAGUAUGGCUAAAGUGGUGGCAUUUCCAGCUGGGUAAAACUAGGAAGGGAUUUCAGAGUGGUUGCAGGAGGACUAGGGAGUGAAUGUGGAACCAAUAGGAAAUGAGCACCAGGCUCCCAGAAAAAUGUAGUGAAGCUGCUGCCAUUCUACAUUUGCCCCGGAUGGAACUCCGUGAUACCACCUCGCUUCACGAUAUUUCACAUUGCCUGAUGGAACCCAAAGAAACCAGCUUUAUUUCUGUGCCAUUUCUCAGUGAUUAAACUUCAAACUUCAAAACCAAGA